AUACAGAGGGUGCAAGCGUUAAUCGGAGUUACUGGGCGUAAAGGGCGCGUAGGCUGGUAUUUAAGUCGAUUGUGAAAUCCCUGGGCUUAACCUAGGAAUUGCAGUCGAUACUGAAUGUCUUGAGUAUGGUAGAGGAAAGUAGAAUUCUCGGUGUAGUGGUUAAAUACGUAGAUAUCGAGAAGAACACCGGUGGCGAAGGCGACUUUCUGGACCAAUACUGACGCUGAGGCGCGAAAGCGUGGGGAGC
This 247-nucleotide ribosomal RNA is filed under the name uncultured bacterium. RNAcentral's name for it is "partial 16S ribosomal RNA". It matches the Rfam family "Bacterial small subunit ribosomal RNA", at positions 523 to 769 of the family's 1533-position model. The record is from RNAcentral.